GAUGAACGCUGGCGGCGUGCCUAAUACAUGCAAGUCGAGCGAACAGACGAGGAGCUUGCUCCUCUGACGUUAGCGGCGGACGGGUGAGUAACACGUGGAUAACCUACCUAUAAGACUGGGAUAACUUCGGGAAACCGGAGCUAAUACCGGAUAAUAUAUUGAACCGCAUGGUUCAAUAGUGAAAGACGGUUUUGCUGUCUCUUAUAGAUGGAUCCGCGCCGCAUUAGCUAGUUGGUAAGGUAACGGCUUACCAAGGCAACGAUGCGUAGCCGACCUGAGAGGGUGAUCGGCCACCCUGGAACUGGGACACGGUCCAGACUCCUACGGGAGGCAGCAGUAGGGAAUCUUCCGCAAUGGGCGAAAGCCUGACGGAGCAACGCCGCGUGAGUGAUGAAGGUCUUCGGAUCGUAAAACUCUGUUAUUAGGGAAGAACAAAUGUGUAAGUAACUAUGCACGUCUUGACGGUACCUAAUCAGAAAGCCACGGCUAACUACGUG
This 497-nucleotide ribosomal RNA is filed under the name uncultured bacterium. RNAcentral describes it as "partial 16S ribosomal RNA". It matches the Rfam family "Bacterial small subunit ribosomal RNA", at positions 28 to 507 of the family's 1533-position model. The record is from RNAcentral.